CCUACGGGAGGCAGCAGUGAGGAAUAUUGGUCAAUGGGCGGGAGCCUGAACCAGCCAAGUCGCGUGAGGGAAGACGGUCCUACGGAUUGUAACCCUCUUUUGCCGGGGAGCAACGGGGUCCUUGCGAGGGCCCAAUGCGUGUACCCGGAUACAAAGCAUCGGCUAACUCCGUGCCAGCAGCCGCGGUAAUACCGAGGAUGCGAGCGUUAUACGGAUUUCUUGGGUUUAAAGGGUGCGUAGGCGGGCUGUUAAGUCAGCGGUCAAAUGUCGGGGCUCAACCCCGGCCUGCCGGUGAAACUGGCGGCCUCGAGUGGGCGAGAAGUAUGCGGAAGGCGUGGUGUAGCGGUGAAAUGCAUAGAGAUCACGCAGAACUCCGAUUGCGAAGGCAGCAUACCGGCGCCCUACUGACGCUGAGGCACGAAAGCGUGGGUAUCGAACAGGAUUAGAUACCCUAGUAGUC
Molecule: ribosomal RNA, 460 nt
Filed under: uncultured bacterium
Lineage: Bacteria
Description: partial 16S ribosomal RNA
Rfam family: Bacterial small subunit ribosomal RNA
Source: RNAcentral